UCCCCCAUGGUGUAAGGGCAGCACAACGUCUUUUGGUGUCGUCGGUCGAGGUUCGAAUCCUCGUGGGGGAG
This 71-nucleotide transfer RNA is filed under the name Streptomyces nigrescens. RNAcentral describes it as "tRNA-Gln". It matches the Rfam family "tRNA". Rfam says of the family: Transfer RNA (tRNA) molecules are approximately 80 nucleotides in length. Their secondary structure includes four short double-helical elements and three loops (D, anti-codon, and T loops). Lineage: Bacteria; Bacillati; Actinomycetota; Actinomycetes; Kitasatosporales; Streptomycetaceae. The record is from RNAcentral. RNAcentral also lists the same sequence under 16 other names.